GGAGAAGAAGAGGAGGAGGAGGAGGAAGAGAGAGCAAGAGAGAGAACUAAAAACCCCCUGAAGGAUGGUUCUCCAAAACUGCUGGCGGAACCAGGGGGAAUUCCGGGGCGAGCGGGAGCCGGGCGCGGAGAUGGCCGAGCCCGGAGGUGUUUGAUGAGCAGAUUGGGUCUUUAUCUCGGCGCUGGAGAGCAGGCAGGCUCGCGGGGAGACGCUGGAGCUUUACAGGAUUUCUGCUGUUUGUUUGUUUUCUUCUGCUGAAAUCCGGCUGCCUUUUUACUGCUCUGUAAAGAAUUUUGUAUGGGCUGAAUAUGUUUCUGCUUUAUAUAUGGCUUUUCAUAUCACCGUAUUAAACAUAUUGAGAGUUAAGGAGAAACUA
Long non-coding RNA from Calidris pugnax (ruff), 376 nucleotides. RefSeq lists it as uncharacterized. Lineage: Eukaryota; Metazoa; Chordata; Aves; Charadriiformes; Scolopacidae. The transcript is spliced from 2 exons. The record is from RefSeq and is a predicted model, not a curated record.